GAUGAACGCUGGCGGCGUGCCUAAUACAUGCAAGUCGAGCGAACAGAUAAGGGGCUUGCUCCUUUGACGUUAGCGGCGGACGGGUGAGUAACACGUGGGUAACCUACCUAUAAGACUGGAAUAACUCCGGGAAACCGGGGCUAAUGCCGGAUAACAUUUAGAACCGCAUGGUUCUAAAGUGAAAGAUGGUUUUGCUAUCACUUAUAGAUGGACCCGCGCCGUAUUAGCUAGUUGGUAAGGUAACGGCUUACCAAGGCAACGAUACGUAGCCGACCUGAGAGGGUGAUCGGCCACACUGGAACUGAGACACGGUCCAGACUCCUACGGGAGGCAGCAGUAGGGAAUCUUCCGUAAUGGGCGAAAGCCUGACGGAGCAACGCCGCGUGAGUGAUGAAGGUCUUCGGAUCGUAAAACUCUGUUAUUAGGGAAGAACAAAUGUGUAAGUAACUGUGCACGUCUUGACGGUACCUAAUCAGAAAGCCACGGCUAACUACGUG
This 497-nucleotide ribosomal RNA is filed under the name uncultured bacterium. RNAcentral describes it as "partial 16S ribosomal RNA". It matches the Rfam family "Bacterial small subunit ribosomal RNA", at positions 28 to 507 of the family's 1533-position model. The record is from RNAcentral.